CUCUGCUGCAGGGGUGUGCACUUAGAAAAAGUGUGACCCCACAACCUACUGCGUCCUCCACCAGAAAGUUUGUCUUUUCUUUUUUCUCACUCUCUUGGACUUGAUGUUUUAUAUUUUCCCCGACUGCUGUUUCCUGGGACUCCAAUACCAGUUUCCUUUUACUGGAAACACAGAGGCAAAUGACAACAUCAUCCUUACUGAAACACCCUGCCUCCACCAUACCCAUGCAAGCUAUUUGUUUCUCAGGCUAAAAGAGACGCCAUGAAAGAGAACUUCUGGUGAAACUUCAAGGACUUAAUGAGACUUCAAGGACAUUGAUACAAGCUAUUUGUAACUCAGAAAUUCUACCUGGAUCCUAGGCCCUUGACAGUCCUUAGAGAAGAGUCGAUUGAAUAAGAAGAGAAGAAAUCCUUAUUUUUCAGCCCAAGACACUAAGCGGGAUUAAGCCUAUGUCAUUUGCUCUUCAAAGUCUGGGUUUUCUUUCAGAAACACACUGGACAUUAUAUGGGAAUAACACUUAGAGACUGGGCUGUGGAGAAGACCAAAGAGUCUGCUACAAUAUAUUAGCAAAUAAAUUCUCUUACUUCUAACAUA
RNAcentral lists this long non-coding RNA (594 nucleotides) under Homo sapiens (human). RNAcentral's name for it is "HSALNT0175550". The record is from RNAcentral. Lineage: Eukaryota; Metazoa; Chordata; Mammalia; Primates; Hominidae.